This 250-nucleotide unclassified non-coding RNA is filed under the name plant metagenome. RNAcentral's name for it is "partial contains small subunit ribosomal RNA, internal transcribed spacer 1, and 5.8S ribosomal RNA". The stretch from base 169 to 233 matches the Rfam family "5.8S ribosomal RNA". The record is from RNAcentral.
GUAGGUGAACCUGCGGAAGGAUCAUUAAUGAAUCUCGGGAGUCCCUCCUAACCGGAGAAGGCCCGCAUCAUUAUUUCACACACUUGUGCAUUUGUCCCCUUUCAAUACCUUUAACCCUGUAUGCAUUUGAAACAGUCAUUGGUUAACAAACAUGAUAAAUGAAAGAAAAACUUUCAGCAAUGGAUCUCUUGGCUCUCGCAUCGAUGAAGAACGCAGCAUCUGACUGACUGUAACCGUAACCAUCUCGUAU